AGCGGCAGCUACCAUGCAGUCGACGGAUCCUUCGGGAUUAGUGGCAGACGGGUGAGUAACGCGUGGGAAGCUACCUUGUGGUAGGGAACAACAGUUGGAAACGACUGCUAAUACCCUAUGAGCCCUAUGGGGGAAAGAUUUAUCGCCAUGAGAUGUGCCCGCGUUAGAUUAGCUAGUUGGUAAGGUAAUGGCUUACCAAGGCGACGAUCUAUAGCUGGUCUGAGAGGAUGAUCAGCCACACUGGGACUGAGACACGGCCCAGACUCCUACGGGAGGCAGCAGUGGGGAAUAUUGGACAAUGGGGGCAACCCUGAUCCAGCUAUGCCGCUUGUGUGAUGACGGCCUUAGGGCUAAAAAACACUUUCAGCAGUGAAGAUAAUGACGUUAACUGCAAAAAAACCCCGGUUAUCUUCCUGCCCCCCCCCCCUGUACGA
RNAcentral lists this ribosomal RNA (434 nucleotides) under marine bacterium CS-87. RNAcentral describes it as "partial 16S ribosomal RNA". It matches the Rfam family "Bacterial small subunit ribosomal RNA", at positions 39 to 525 of the family's 1533-position model. The record is from RNAcentral.